UCGUAUAAUGGAGGUGCCGGGGCUGUCGCUAACUUUGUGCAUGCCCUGGUGCUCUCUCGCAAAAUCCAUCUCACCCUCUUUGUGCAUCACCGCAUGGGUGCUCUCCUUUUGGUUCGUUCUGAAAGGGGGCAUUUGCGUUUUUAUACAAACCACUGCAUGUGUAGAAUGUCUUACUAUUUGCAAUAAUGUGCAAUCAAUA
This 199-nucleotide unclassified non-coding RNA is filed under the name uncultured Russula. RNAcentral's name for it is "sequence contains ITS1". Lineage: Eukaryota; Fungi; Basidiomycota; Agaricomycetes; Russulales; Russulaceae. The record is from RNAcentral.